Molecule: long non-coding RNA, 411 nt
Organism: Oncorhynchus tshawytscha (Chinook salmon)
Lineage: Eukaryota; Metazoa; Chordata; Actinopteri; Salmoniformes; Salmonidae
Source: Ensembl
ACUGGCUUGGAUAACCCAGUCUCAGGCUUGGAUAACACUGGCUUGGAUAACCCAGUCUCGGGCUUGGAUAACUCUGGCUUGGAUAACCCCGUCUCGGGCUUGGACAACACUGGCUUAGAUAACCCAGUCUCGGGCUUGUACAACACUGGCUUGGAUAACACUGGCUUGGAUAACCCAGUCUCAGGCUUGGAUAACACUGGCUUGGAUAACCCAGUCUCGGGCUUGGAUAACACUGGCUUGGAUAACCCAGUCUCAGGCUUGGAUAACACUGGCUUGAAUAACACUGGCUUGGAUAACCCAGUCUCGGGCUUGGACAACACUGGUUUGGAUAACACUGGCUUGGAUAACCCAGUCUCAGGCUUGGAUAACACUGGCUUGGAUAACCCAGUCUCAGGCUUGGAUAACACUGGC